CCGGUUAUCGUAUAAAAGGGAAUCCGGUGAAAAUCCGGAACAGUGCCCGCUACUGUAAAGCCCAUUCCGAAGGAAAGCAUUCUUACACCACUGUCCGGCAUAAGGACGGGAAGGUCGCUUUCCGGGCAAGUCAGGAAACCUGCCAAGGUUUUUUA
Molecule: non-coding RNA, 155 nt
Filed under: uncultured Parabacteroides sp.
Lineage: Bacteria; Pseudomonadati; Bacteroidota; Bacteroidia; Bacteroidales; Tannerellaceae
Source: RNAcentral